CUUCUUUCAAAUCUAAAUUUAGCAAAUAUCUUUCAAUAUUACACUUUUCUCCUUUGAAACUUGAAGGCUUUGGGCAUUUAAGAAUCAGUGUUUCAGCUGCAAUGCUUCUGAGAGGAAGGGAGAUUUUCAAAGAGCCUUUGUCAGCCCAGGAGUGAGUGAGUUAAUCCAUCCACCUGCCCCAACUGAGAGCAGAAGACACUGUUUAUAGGACUGAAGACAGAGGUGCUGGGUGCAAGGACUGAGACUAAGAAUGGAAAUGCGAGAACCAGGAUUCAGGGAUGGAGGAAAAGAGACUCAAAGAGACCUUAGGCUGUUCUCAGAUGUCCAUGGCUGGCGAGUGGCAACGUUAGGACUAGAAACCCAGUCUACUGGCUCUCCUCCAACCUCUGCUUUUUCUGCAAUACCAAAUAUCCACAGGUUUCUGUGCCCAGAGUUCUCCUAAGGAAUGGGCCAUGGCUGAGGACUAAAGACACAGUGGAUUAGUGCUGAGGCAGGAGGCUUUUUAAAAACUCUGUGUAAAAGACUUAUUCUGAGCCCUCUGUUGCAAGCAUAUUAAAAUCGUCUCAGUGUUCAGAAUGAGGAUGAAGUGCUGG
This 593-nucleotide long non-coding RNA is filed under the name Homo sapiens (human). RNAcentral's name for it is "HSALNT0158483". The record is from RNAcentral. Lineage: Eukaryota; Metazoa; Chordata; Mammalia; Primates; Hominidae.